Long non-coding RNA from Sesamum indicum (sesame), 1154 nucleotides. RefSeq annotates it as transcription factor bHLH47. The record is from RefSeq and is a predicted model, not a curated record. Lineage: Eukaryota; Viridiplantae; Streptophyta; Magnoliopsida; Lamiales; Pedaliaceae.
AACCUCGUCCUCGUUCGGUGUCUCCUACCCGCAGCUGCCCGCCACACGCCGCCCAUUGUCACUCUCUCAAAUCUCAACAUCCAUAUACAGAUUUUGCAGCUAUUAUUCCUCCUUCUUCACCAAAACACGACUCUUUGACUUCCAACAAAGUUAGAUAUAUGUCUAUGGGACUGUAAAUGCAAUCUGGUAUUGACGGAAAAUGGCAAUGGAGGCAUUGACGGGCAGGGGUCCUUCUAGCAAGAAGAAUAAGGGAAAGGUUCCUAAAAGAAUUCACAAGGCUGAGAGAGAGAAGAUGAAGCGUGAACACUUGAACGAGCUGUUUCUUGCUUUAGCGAAUUCCCUUGACCUAUCUGAUCAGAACAACGGCAAGGCCACUAUGUUGAUUGAAGCCACUCGAAUGGUGAAGGACAUGCUGGUUCAGAUCGAAUGUCUGAAAAAAGAAAAUGCCGCUUUGUUAUCCUAGUCCCAAUAUGUGAUGGUAGAGAAGAAUGAGCUACAAGAUGAAAAUUCUGCUUUAGAAGCUCAAAUCAGGAAACUGCGGACGGAGCUCAAGUCUAGGGUUUCCGAGUUGCAACUAGAUCUGAACACAGUUCCGCCAGAAUACCAGAUCCAAGGGUCGGCAUCACAUAGUAGUGAUGGUCUGCUCGUGCUCCCUCCAACGCAACCUGGACAACCGCAAGCACAAAUCGUAAAUCCUUUACGUCUUGCCACCUUCUGCCCAAACAUUCAAGCUUAUCCAGAGGUAGGUAAUGAAGGAAUCACGCCUAGGCAUAUUUCCAUUGUGAGUAAACCGCAUGCUCGAUACCCUACUGCAGCCGACAGGUGGCCAUCUCAAGUGCUUGAAAAACAUCCCGAGUCUGGAAAACAAGCCGAGCAUGGUCACGGAAACCGCGGUUAGUAUGCGGUGUAGAGCCUGGCGUUGGCUAAGUUUAUUUGGACAUGUACAGCAGAUCAGUGAUCAUGGUUUUGCUAGUUUUAACUGCUCAGAACGAUCUUUUGGCCGACGGAGAAUUUAGAAUUAGCAGUAAGUAAACCUGGGAAACACAAGUAGUAUUGUCUUAUUUAUGUAUGAAAAUAUAAGUGUAUGUAUAUGUUUAUACUUGUCAGACAUGGUUUAUGAGUAUACUAUUGGAUAAAUCACUCUGUUUGAAGCA